Eriocheir sinensis (Chinese mitten crab) is the source of this 1392-nucleotide long non-coding RNA. RefSeq lists it as uncharacterized. Lineage: Eukaryota; Metazoa; Arthropoda; Malacostraca; Decapoda; Varunidae. The record is from RefSeq and is a predicted model, not a curated record. The transcript has 4 exons.
AGUGAGUGCUGUGAUUUAGUUGAUUUUGGGUGUGUGGUGGUGACGGCGUGGUGCUGGCGAUGCUGUUCUGGUGGUGGUGGUGAUGACGGGGAAGAUGUUUGACUCAGCAGCCACACGCAACCCGCGGUGAUGCCCGGGUUACUACAGGCCGCCAUAGCCAUGCAGCACCGAAAUCGAACCAGUGCUGACCCGACGCGACUCCCUGGGGGCACUAGUAUUACCAAACUUUCAUCAAACCUACGCACAUUCAAGACAAAGGUGAGAGUGAAUACACUCCCGGACGAAGGACGUUCACCAAGGAACUCUCCCGAGGCAGCGCAGCGCGGGCCACCAACUCGGAGGGAGGCAAGUGGUCUGAUUUGAUAUUUGUUUAUGUUCGGUGUAGCUUUCAUGUAUUCUUUUUACCGAAGACAAAGAAUCAAGUAUUAACACUUUUUUCCAAAGUGGUCCCCUCUAAUUAGGAUGUUUGAGAUUACCGUCAAUAUCAUUCGAUACAAAAUAUAUAAAAAAAUAACAUAUUGGAGAAUAGUGAAGGAAAGCAGUAAGCAGCGCAAGGAAAGUGUACAAAAGAAAACAAUAAAUAUGUAGCCUCAAAAAAGACGCGCAACUUGCGAUUCUUAAAAAAAAAAAAUUAAAGUAACGGGAAAAAAUGUUGCCAUAGAAAACAACAUUUCUAGAAAUACAAAAGUAGAGAAGUAACAGACGGGAAGAAUUAACAUGUAUCUCGAAGUUUAACAAGAAAAAAUCAGUCAGAAAACGAAAUAAUAAGGUAUUUAUAAAAUAUUAAGUUCGUAAGAAAUAAUAAAUAAAAGCAUAUGAAAAUCAUAAACAAAUAUUUUAAUAAAAUAAAUGGAUAAAAAAAUAUAUGUAGAAAAUAUAAAAUUAGAGUGUUACUGUAGUAGAGAAAGAAAAGAAAAGGAAAUGUGAAAAUAAAGAAAUAAAGAAUGAAACCAAAGUGACGAAGUAAACAAGUAUAAGAAAAAAAGAAACAAAGUUAAACAAAAUAAGAGGAGGCGGUGGCUGAGUGGUUAGCGUGUCGGUGCCGCGGCCAGGAGGACGCGGGUUCACGUCCUGCUCGCCGCCACAAGCUGGUGACCGAGAGGGUCAAAGAUGAGCUCCGGGGCUGCAGCAUGAGCCAAGCAAGACGGCGUCACUAUAAGCACUUGCCUGCGCCACAACGGGCUGGAGUCGACCAUCAGGCCUUAUCAAGAAAGCCUCCCGGCGCCAUACGCAGAAACGUAAAAUAAAAAAAAAUAAAAAAAGUAAAACCAGGUAACAAACUAAGGUAAAAUAAAGAAUAAGAAGUAAGUUAAGUAACCAAGUAACUAAUAAAGUAACAAAAUAGACGAGUUAGAAAUGUAACCAAAAAAGAAACAAAAAAUAAAAAAAUAG